UAGUUUACUUGAUAUGAAUAUAGGAUUGUAGUAUUUAGUUCAUGGAAUAUAAGAUUACUUAGAAUUCAGGACAGGAGAUUAACUUCGAUAAGUUGGGUCUUUUAUUUAGUUCGAACAUCAUAGAAGAAAAUGAAAACGAUUAUCGAUGCAUUCUUUACACUUCCACUGUGUCUAAUCUGGAGAAAUAUUUGGGCCUCUCGAAAAUAGUAGGAAGAAAUAAAAGAGAGGCGUUUGUUCACAUGAAGGACAAGUAUCGGAGUCGAAUUGCCGGUCUACUUGGGCACUAUCUUAAGGGGACUUUGUGCCUUGAGUUGACUGGAAUCAUGGCUCGGUUUUGGUGGUAGAACUCUGUGUCACUUCAAGGGAUCUAUUGGUGUUUGUGGAAAAAAUUAUGUCAGCUAAAGGAUGAACGAGAUUUGGGUUUUGGGACAUGAGUAAGUUUAACAAUGUGCUCCUAGCUAAGCAAGGGUGGAGGAUUAUGAUGAGCCUGACAUCGCUAGCUAGUUGGGUUUUACGUGGGAAGUAUUAUAUUACGGGGGAUUUUACGAACGUGAGAUUUUGUUUCACCCCAUCGUAAAUUUGACGCAGUUUGUGGUAUGCGUGAGGUUUGUUCGAAAAAGGCUUAAGAUGGAGAGUUAGGAAUGGUCAUUCCAUCUUUAUAUGGAAUGAUUUCUGGAUAGCAUUAAGAAGCCUACGUUGUGUUGAGUCUCGGAGGGUGGAUACAGUUGAGUUUGUCUUAGAUUUUAUUGUGACGGACACUAUGUCUUGGAGGGAAAAUCUAACCACGAAAAUAUAUAAUGAAGAUGAGGCAAGGUUGAUUUUGAGUAUACCGAUUGUUAGCUUCUGUCAAGAAGGUUGCCAUGUUUGGAGUGGUGAAAAGACGAGAGGGUAUAGCGUUAUGAGUGGAUAUCGACUGCUCCUUGGGGAUGUUGAUGUUUCCUUACCAGUUAAAGCAUGUUAAUUACAUUUGGGCUAGUGCAUGUCAACAAAUUUUGAUGAUUAUAUGGGGAUUGUGGUUUGCACGAAAUUGGUUCUAUCACGAGGGUAAGAAGAUACAAAGGGAGGAAUUUUUUAUCUUUGUUCGAUCGCAUUGUUUGGAAUUCAGGACUGCCUAUACAAGAAUUCGAAGUCAUGUGACUCAGGCUCCGGAUAAAUGGCACGCUCCUAAUCCUUUGAGUGUGUAGGCAACCUUUGAUGCUCGAUACAUUCAUGCACAACAAAAAGGUUUGUCAGGGGUUAUUAUUCUCGAGCAUGAAGGCUACAUUCUAGGUGCAUUUUAGAGGAAGUUUUUGAGAGUUACCUCGACUUUAAUGGUGGAGGCUACGACGGUGAUUCACGCCGUUAAAUUUGCUGUAGAGUUGGGCUUCCAAAAUAUUGUGAACGAAGGUGAUGCGAAAGUGGUGGUUGAUAAAGUUGCUUCCUUGGUGCGUGAUUUCAUGGCAAAAAGCUCAUUGAUUUUAGAGGCGAAAAGGAAAUUAGAGGUCCUCACCGCUUGUACCUUUUGAUUCACCCCUUGUACUGGUAACAAUGUUACUCAUAUGCUUUCAGCUGAUGAGGAAGACCGAUUAUGGAUUGAAG
Molecule: long non-coding RNA, 1578 nt
Organism: Hibiscus syriacus
Lineage: Eukaryota; Viridiplantae; Streptophyta; Magnoliopsida; Malvales; Malvaceae
Exons: 3
Source: RefSeq, a predicted model, not a curated record